Molecule: long non-coding RNA, 595 nt
Organism: Musa acuminata subsp. malaccensis (wild Malaysian banana)
Lineage: Eukaryota; Viridiplantae; Streptophyta; Magnoliopsida; Zingiberales; Musaceae
Source: RefSeq, a predicted model, not a curated record
UCUCCUUCAUCGCCAUAUAAGUAGCCCCCCUCGUCGUUCUUUAAACCCCUCUCUCCCUCCUCCCUUCGCGUCUCUUCCACGGCAUUGCAGGAUCAGUGGAUGAGACUCUUUUUUGCGCGUAUCUCGUCGAAUGGCGGCAUCGAGCCUUCUGCUCCAGAAGCAGCUUAAAGAUAUUUUGAAGAAUCCGGUGCGUUAUCGAGUGGAGCGUGACCAUUCGAUGAUCGCCUGACACGCUGUAGUGAGUGAUCCCCCCCCUUGAGUCGAUUAGUCAUGCUUCUUUCCUCUUUUAUUACCUUUCUGAUAUGAUGGAUUCUUUUGACGAAUUCUGUUCGUGAUCGGACGGGUUUAUCGCCACCGUUGGUAGCGAUGGGUUAGGAUCUCAUGCGACUUUUCGCACGGGGCUUGAUAACUUUACAUUUGUACGUCAUUGAUUAGAACUUGGGACUGGACAUUGAAGGACGAUUAGUGUUUUUGAUGCAUAGUAUCGAUAACAUCUCUGAUUGAUGCAGACCAUCUGUUUGUUGGUUUGCCUCAUCAUUUAUAGUGCUGCUUAAGCAUGGUUGUUUUUUAUGCAUAGUACCGAUAACAUCUUUAA